RNAcentral lists this ribosomal RNA (301 nucleotides) under uncultured bacterium. RNAcentral's name for it is "partial 16S ribosomal RNA". It matches the Rfam family "Bacterial small subunit ribosomal RNA", at positions 509 to 807 of the family's 1533-position model. The record is from RNAcentral.
CAGCAGCCACGGGAAUACAGAGGGUGCGAGCGUUAAUCGGAUUUACUGGGCGUAAAGCGUGCGUAGGCGGCUUUUUAAGUCGGAUGUGAAAUCCCUGAGCUUAACUUAGGAAUUGCAUUCGAUACUGGGAAGCUAGAGUAUGGGAGAGGAUGGUAGAAUUCCAGGUGUAGCGGUGAAAUGCGUAGAGAUCUGGAGGAAUACCGAUGGCGAAGGCAGCCAUCUGGCCUAAUACUGACGCUGAGGUACGAAAGCAUGGGGAGCAAACAGGAUUAGAUACCCCUGUAGUCCCUGUCUCUUAUAC